This 2997-nucleotide ribosomal RNA is filed under the name Haemophilus influenzae. RNAcentral describes it as "bacterial LSU rRNA". It matches the Rfam family "Bacterial large subunit ribosomal RNA". Lineage: Bacteria; Pseudomonadati; Pseudomonadota; Gammaproteobacteria; Pasteurellales; Pasteurellaceae. The record is from RNAcentral.
UAAGUGACUAAGCGUACAAGGUGGAUGCCUUGGCAAUCAGAGGCGAAGAAGGACGUGCUAAUCUGCGAAAAGCUUGGAUGAGUCGAUAAGAGGCGCUUAAUCCAAGAUAUCCGAAUGGGGAAACCCAGUAGAUGAAGAAUCUACUAUCAACAAGUGAAUUCAUAGCUUGUUGAGGCAAACCGGGAGAACUGAAACAUCUAAGUACCCCGAGGAAAAGAAAUCAACCGAGAUUUCGUCAGUAGCGGCGAGCGAAAGCGAAAGAGCCAGUAAGUGAUAACAGUAUGGUUAGGAGAAUGUGUUGGGAAGCACAAUCAAAGAGGGUGAUAAUCCCGUAUCUAAAAACCAUAUUGUGGUACUAAGCUAACGAGAAGUAGGGCGGGACACGUGAUAUCCUGUUUGAAGAAGGGGGGACCAUCCUCCAAGGCUAAAUACUCCUGAUUGACCGAUAGUGAACCAGUACUGUGAAGGAAAGGCGAAAAGAACCCCGGUGAGGGGAGUGAAAUAGAACCUGAAACCUUGUACGUACAAGCAGUGGGAGCCCCAUCACUUAAUCCGAUUGGAAGGUGAUGAAAAGCAACCGCACUUAAACAAUGGUAAGAGGAGCGAAGCGAGUCAAACCACCCAAAAGAAGCAGUGGGAUUAAGUGAUGGGGUGACUGCGUACCUUUUGUAUAAUGGGUCAGCGACUUAUAUUUUGUAGCGAGGUUAACUGAAUAGGGGAGCCGAAGGGAAACCGAGUCUUAACUGGGCGAGUAGUUGCAAGGUAUAGACCCGAAACCCGGUGAUCUAGCCAUGGGCAGGUUGAAGGUUGGGUAACACUAACUGGAGGACCGAACCGACUAAUGUUGAAAAAUUAGCGGAUGACUUGUGGCUGGGGGUGAAAGGCCAAUCAAACCGGGAGAUAGCUGGUUCUCCCCGAAAUCUAUUUAGGUAGAGCCUUGAGGUGACACCUUUGGGGGUAGAGCACUGUUUCGGCUAGGGGGCCAUCCCGGCUUACCAACCCGAUGCAAACUACGAAUACCAAAGAGUGAUACUCAGGAGACACACGGCGGGUGCUAACGUCCGUCGUGGAGAGGGAAACAACCCAGACCGCCAGCUAAGGUCCCCAAGUCUAUAUUAAGUGGGAAACGAAGUGGGAAGGCUUAGACAGCUAGGAUGUUGGCUUAGAAGCAGCCAUCAUUUAAAGAAAGCGUAAUAGCUCACUAGUCGAGUCGGCCUGCGCGGAAGAUGUAACGGGGCUGAAAUAUAGCACCGAAGCUGCGGCAUCAGAAUUUAUUCUGUUGGGUAGGGGAGCGUUGUGUAAGCGGAAGAAGGUUCAUCGAGAGGUGGGCUGGACGUAUCACAAGUGCGAAUGCUGACAUAAGUAACGAUAAAACGGGUGAAAAACCCGUUCGCCGGAAGACCAAGGGUUCCUGUCCAACGUUAAUCGGGGCAGGGUGAGUCGGCUCCUAAGGCGAGGCUGAAAAGCGUAGUCGAUGGGAAACAGGUUAAUAUUCCUGUACUUGGUAAAGCUGCGAUGUGGGGACGGAGUAGGUUAGGUUAUCGCACUGUUGGAUAUGUGCGUUUAAGUUGGUAGGUGGGAAGUUUAGGCAAAUCCGGGCUUCCUUAACACAGAGAGAUGAUGACGAGGCUCUACGGAGCUGAAGUAACUGAUACCACACUUCCAGGAAAAGCCACUAAGCGAAAGGCUUUACUAAACCGUACUGAAAACCGACACAGGUGGUCAGGUAGAGAAUACUCAGGCGCUUGAGAGAACUCGGGUGAAGGAACUAGGCAAAAUAGCACCGUAACUUCGGGAGAAGGUGCGCCGGCGUAGAUUGUAAGGGCUAGCCCCUGAAGGUUGAACCGGUCGAAGAUACCAGCUGGCUGCAACUGUUUAUUAAAAACACAGCACUCUGCAAACACGAAAGUGGACGUAUAGGGUGUGAUGCCUGCCCGGUGCUGGAAGGUUAAUUGAUGGUGUAAUCGCAAGAGAAGCACCUGAUCGAAGCCCCAGUAAACGGCGGCCGUAACUAUAACGGUCCUAAGGUAGCGAAAUUCCUUGUCGGGUAAGUUCCGACCUGCACGAAUGGCAUAAUGAUGGCCAGGCUGUCUCCACCCGAGACUCAGUGAAAUUGAAAUCGCCGUGAAGAUGCGGUGUACCCGCGGCUAGACGGAAAGACCCCGUGAACCUUUACUAUAGCUUGACACUGAACAUUGAAUUUUGAUGUGUAGGAUAGGUGGGAGCCUUUGAAGCAGUGACGCCAGUCAUUGUGGAGGCGACCUUGAAAUACCACCCUUUAACGUUUGAUGUUCUAACGAAGAUGACGAAACGUGGUCUCGGACAGUGUCUGGUGGGUAGUUUGACUGGGGCGGUCUCCUCCCAAAGCGUAACGGAGGAGCACGAAGGUUUGCUAAUCACGGUCGGACAUCGUGAGGUUAGUGCAAUGGUAUAAGCAAGCUUAACUGCGAGACAGACAAGUCGAGCAGGUACGAAAGUAGGUCAUAGUGAUCCGGUGGUUCUGAAUGGAAGGGCCAUCGCUCAACGGAUAAAAGGUACUCCGGGGAUAACAGGCUGAUACCGCCCAAGAGUUCAUAUCGACGGCGGUGUUUGGCACCUCGAUGUCGGCUCAUCACAUCCUGGGGCUGAAGUAGGUCCCAAGGGUAUGGCUGUUCGCCAUUUAAAGUGGUACGCGAGCUGGGUUUAGAACGUCGUGAGACAGUUCGGUCCCUAUCUGCCGUGGGCGUUGGAUGAUUAAUUGGGGCUGCUCCUAGUACGAGAGGACCGGAGUGGACGCAUCACUGGUGUUCCAGUUGUCUCGCCAGAGGCAUUGCUGGGUAGCUAAGUGCGGAAGAGAUAAGUGCUGAAAGCAUCUAAGCACGAAACUUGCCAAGAGAUGAGUCAUCCCUGACUUUAAGUCAGUAAGGGUUGUUGUAGACUACGACGUAGAUAGGUCUGGUGUGUAAGUGUAGUGAUAUAUUGAGCUAACAGAUACUAAUUGCCCGAGAGGCUUAACUA